Molecule: long non-coding RNA, 6363 nt
Organism: Sander lucioperca (pikeperch)
Lineage: Eukaryota; Metazoa; Chordata; Actinopteri; Perciformes; Percidae
Exons: 3
Source: RefSeq, a predicted model, not a curated record
GAGGCAAGGAGGGAGGGAAGAGGGAUGCUGCAUUUUAGUGAUAACACAGACUGAGACUGCAGGAGCAGACAGGGGGACGGAGAGAAUCAAUGAGAGAGGUAGAAAUUAAGAGAGAGGAGCGGAGCAUUGUCUGAGAGAGCAUGACAGGAUUCCCACACAGACUGUGACAAACGUGUACUUGAAGAAGCAGCAGAAGGGGGAAAAAGGGAGCAAACUUGCAUCAGUGACCACAGCAAGUGAAAAGACACCUCUGUUUCAGAAGAGGAGAGAAGAAACCACCUGUAAUCAUGCUGUCCUUCCAUCUGUCUCAACAAGAUGCAGAUGUCUCUUUUCGUUGCCUGGGACAAAAGAGAAAUGUUGAAUGGAUUCUAAUGUGCUGUUAGAGACAGGAGUAAAAAAAAAAAAAAAAACUAGCAAGCUUCUGGGAGGAAAAGGGAGGAGAGAGCAGUAUGAGUCAGAGCACAGCAGCUAGAAUAGUAUGUAUUCGGCAUGCAAGAGGAGGGAAAUACAGAGGACUUGACCAGAAUUGAGCAGUCAUUAGACAGAAGGACAGGAGGAGACAGAAGCAGCCACACUGGCAGGAGGAUGUAAGAUAUAGGCCAAGUGAAUCAGCUUGCUAGAGGGAGACGAAGGCAAGUUUACAAAGUGAAGGUUUCUGAAGAGCGUUGGAGGGAAGGUUAAUUGAAGGUUUGCUGCAGGGUGGAGAGUGGACAGAAAACAGUGAAGGACAGAAGGACAGGCUUAAUGAAAAAUAAAAGUCCUGAGUGACUGUGUCUUACUACAGGGAGGGGACAUUACUGAGGUUUGCAUAUGGCAGGACAAGCUUCAAGAAGGUUGACAAAUUGAUAGAGAGAAAAGGUAAAAAAAAAAGAGAAGAACACACCAAAAACAGCAGAACACAGAGACGACGUGGCAUGGAAACUUUAACUCUGAUAGCAACACAGCAAGAGUUUCCCAUUAAAUAUUGAUGCUGACACCCCACUCUGGAAAGAACUCGCUCCUUGCACCACGGAGGGGGAAACAGAAGGAAAAAACACUUGCUUUUUUAAUUCUAAGGGAUUUUUACACCAGAAUAGACAAGCUGUUAAGUGUGUCAGAUGGCAGCUGAGUUGGGUUAAGUUCAAAUGUUGCUACAAAUUCAGACAAGACAUACAGAUCUUGGUCCAGCUGUGCACGAUCUCUGGGAGAGUGGAAUAACUACAGAGAGAGGAACUGGACCUUCAUCUUGUGUGGGAACAACAAGGAAGAAGAAAAUUAAAAUUGGAGAGAUCACUAAGACUACAUCAGGACCAGAACAAUUUCUUCUUUUCUAUGAGAACAUGAACCAGCUCUGGCUGAUGAAUACAGAUCCAUUUUGGAUUGACAUGCUGUACCUGCUUUGACAGUCACUCUGGGGCUACAUCACUGCCAGAUGAGAGAAGCCAAACACUGCUGAAGCAUUCACAAAUGUUUCCUAUUUUUAUUUUGUCCUGGACUGAUUGAAACUGUUCCAACUGUCUCUGAAAAUGACCUCAUUACAGAGAUUUGGCCAGUGGAGGAUUACUGUCAUGGCUUGAGGAAAUAUAAGUGUGGAAAUGCUUUAAUGUGCAUCAACACACAGCAUCCUUAAUUGGAAGCAGAGUGUAUACUUUGUUUUUGUCUCCAUGACUGCAUAAGGACAAUCCUCCAACUUAAUUUAACCAAGAAAUUAAGAUAGAGACUUCCUUCGGUCUGACCUGAAUCACAGAUUCCUCAAAACAUCACAAUAGUAACGCAGGAGGACACAACGCCACAGUCUCCAUUCAGCUGCGGAUAUACCAGCUGCAUUUUUAUGUGUGUGGAGGGCUAUAAGGACUGUCGAAAAACUCAGCUGUGUUUGUGUGUAUGCUUGUGUGGGUGUGGAGGUGUAUGUGAGCCCAGCUGUGUCUAAGUGUAUUUUCAAAGCAUCCCCCGGAGCUGUGUGAGUGUGUGUUGUGUGUGUGUGUGUGUGUUGCCUGGAUUCUCCCCACCAGCGACAGAGCUGGACCUGAACAGCAGUGGUGAGAGGGGGGACAGGGAGGGGGAGGAGGAGGAGAAGAGAGAGGUGAAAGAAACCAACAGGGCGGAGGAGAAGAAAAAACUGACAACAUGCUCGGAUAAAGACAAAAAAGAAGGGAGUUUUUGGCAGCCCCCCUGGUGCAAUGUGUGGCGUGGCACCCUGUGGGGGUGGGGUUCUGUGAUGGUAACCAUGGUCCCCGGCAGCCGCUAUGUCUGCAGCGCUCACGCUAGAGAGGAAGACACCACGAACGACCGCGAGGAGCGAAUUUUAGCCGUGCUGGGCAUCAUCGGUACCAUCCUCAAUCUUUUAGUGGUCAUAUUUGUCUACAUCUACACCUCCGUCACCUAAGGUUUUCGGCAAGAAUUUGAACGAGAGACGUUGGCACUGUCCCUAACCUUUCUCCGCACUGCUACCCUCCUCCUCUUUAAGUAUUUAUAUACCUAAGAGGGUUUGAGUAUUCAGAUUGAGCGUUAAGAUGUGAAGAUCCUUGGAAGUGUGUUCAGCUGGAUAGUAGCCAUAUUUAUCUACACCUGCAUCACUGCUUAUCCCUUAAGACAGCUUUGCUCUGUUAGCUAAAAACGACUGCCAAUCACAGGGAAGAAGUUGCAGGUGGAAUCAUCUGCACUUUCCUCCAAUUAAUGAAACUGCGUCUUCAAGACAAUUCCACACAACCACACGUCACAUGACAGUAUGUCCAGUCUAGUAAUGGGUAUCUGUAUUCAUAUGACUGGGGCAAAGCAUUUCUGUGACUGCUCAGACAAGUGUUGUUGAUCUAAUGGUGGUCCUAUUUGACUGUGUUACAUCUUCCUCUUUGUCACAUAACAUGUAAAGUGUGUCUUUAAACAAUCAAACACCUUUGUGACAUUUAAGAUAUCACUGCCAGUUCAUUUUAUCUAAAUGGUUUGACAACGAAGGCCCCUUUGAGUUAACUUGACCAAACUAUUGGAUAGGGAAAGAUGUGGUACGCCAUUAAAACUAUUAAAAGCGACCACCAUUGCCAAGUGAAUUAUUAACGGACUAAUAUUAACUAUUCUACUUGAAUAGAACAUUUAUACAAAUAUACAGAUUAUUACUCACACCCAUUGCUAAAUACUAGUUUAUGUAGUUAGUAGAGAGACUGAAAAAGAUUUACAUGGACCUAACGUGUCCACACCUGAGCACACCAGAGGAGAGAUUCCUGGCUGUGCUGGGAGUCAUCGGCAUCAUACUCAACCUCCUGCUGCUCGUCUUUGUCUAUAUAUACACCUCCAUCUGAUAUAUUUGCCUGAACACAGUAUCAGCUAUUAGAUUAUCCUGCCACACCUAACAUCACCUGUACCUUAGACUGUUCUUCAACCACACCUGUAUAUAUUGUACCUAAGUACAAUAUGGUACAAAGCCGAUUUGGGGAUUAUAUGAUAUUCUAGGCAGCUUUACGUGCCUAUUAAUAUAGUGAUACUCCAAUAAUAGUGGCAACAUGCACAUGAACAGAAGGUGAUGAGAGAAUUGAGAGGCCAAAGCAGUGCCACUGACUGCCACAAGAAUUUGCGGGUUUUUUUUGUAUUUGUGUUUUACAGUUGGUGUUUUUGUAGAUACAGUGCUCUUUCACAUAUGUGCGCGAUGAGAUGUUUACUCAAGGUUGUAUUAUUACCUUCAUCAUGAUUUGACCAAAAUACCUGACGUAAAGACUGCCAUUUCUUACUGUAAAUCUGUUUGUUCUACAUGUUUAUUGAUGGUGAAAACACUCAUGGAACUGAAUGGUGUUGAUGUUUCAGUCUGUGCAGCGGCUCUGCACACCAUCAAAGAUCCCUCUGUGGAAGGUCGGUACAGCGGGACAAUGGUCUAUUUUCUGGUGCCAUGUGUGAUUCUGAUCUGUGAUUGGAUCUGUAAGCCACGUGCAGCGCAGCAUCGGAGAGGGCAAAGCGUGGAACUGAGACAAUGUUGCACAAAUCAAGACAGUGGCCUGUUGCGGUGCAACACAAAGGACUGCAACAGUAAAGAAAGAAUCAGGUUGAACCAGUGUGGAUUGUCUGAAAAAAGAGGAUAUAAAACUUCUGUACAAGGCUUCACCAUCUGUCUCAAAACUCAUUUAAGCACAAAAACUUCCCAGGGAUUGGGUUACAACAUUUCCUCUAAAGCUGCAUGUCACUCUGGAUAUGAUUUUAGGUCUAAGCACUGUGCCUCUGACGGAGGAGCAAAUCUGAAUGCAGCUGAAAUGCGAACAGAGAGGACUGGCCUGAAUCUACACUUCAUCCUUGUUAUUCUCUUUUCCACCAACAAGCUAACACCAGAGAAGACAUAGUACUGAGAGGACCCGCAUGUGUCUCUGCUGUCUUUUCCCACAGCACAAAAUCAUGGAUAUAUACACAGGCACAGACUUAAUUUCAUUCAUCAUCAGUCAGAUGUUCUGAGAGUGAAGACACAUCCCCAGACCAAAGGACUCCAGAAACAGAACAACCAGCAACUUCAACUCACUUUACAAUUUCACAAGUUGGCUUGUAAGAAUAAGUACUGAGAUUUUGAUAAUCAUAUAAGAUUCCUUCUUACAUAGCAUAUGUAUGCUCUUAGUGUUAGCAUCUGUUUAUCAUGAAGUGUUUUGUUUGGACAGGUUUGCAAGCAAAGUCAAAAGCAACAAUGUUUGGUAUGAAGCUCAACAAAUAUCUAUGGUUCUGGUGAUUACAUUUUUAUGAAGUGUAGAAUAGUACAGAUAAGUAUUUCCAUGGUCAUGGCUACAGAACAGCUGGAUGAACAAGUGACAGCAAUUUUCCUGCAUGAGUAAUUAGCUUUUACUAAGAACUAUUAGUUGCUUUGUUGAGUUUUAAAACAGCAAAGAGGAAAAAUCAAAAGGGUACAUAUUUUAAUUACCUGUAUAAGGACUCUCUCUUUCUCACCAUCUCACACACUUGUACUUGUUUACGUGGGGACCCUUAUUGACAAAUUGCAUUAGCAACCUUAACCUUAACACAACAUGCUUCAUCCCAAAACUGUACAGUAUGUAACAUUAACCUGAACCUAAUUCUGGAAAUCCAAAAAAAUAUAUAUAUUUCUAUUGAUUAUGUUAACAUUGUACUCACCAAAGUAAUUGUUAAGAUCUGGGGACUCGGUGGCAUUACCAAAAAUAGAUAUUGAACAAAGCAAAAUACACAAGGUUAAGUCAAACUUAUUUGGAAGAGAAAAUGAAGGCAAACUUUCAACAUUAAUACCCAAGCUGUCUGUUUAGCUGACAACUUCCUGGUUCAACUUUGACCUACCAUAUUUGCUGUAGUUAUGCACACUCAAGAUUUUCCUAUGCGGUGAGAGAUUAUUAGCAACAUUACGGGUUUACUCACUUUUUAUUCCAUCUUCAAAUUAAGAUAAUCUGGCAAAAACAUUAGCUUGUUUACAGCCUGUAUGGUUAUCUGACCGCUACUGUUUGCUGCCCCUUGAACUUAGUUUUAGCUUUGCCACAUUCUGAGAUCUUAACAAUUAGUUCAGAGUACUUAAACUAAAAAAAUAAAACCCAAAUUGUAAUAAACCAUUAUUUUUUAUUUAUUCAACCCUAAAACUUUAAACCUUGAAUAUUUGAAGUGAGAACCAGCCAAAAUAUUCCAAAACAUUCUCACUCUCAAUACCUAGACUCAAACUGGUCCUCACUCACACACACACACACACACACACACACACACACACACACACACACACACACACACACACACACACACACACACACACACAUAAACACUUGCUACUUGCAUCUCUCUUCAUGAGUUUAAUUUUACACCGUCUUUCAGCACACAUCAGGAGCGCACGCUGAGAUCAGUGUGACUUGCACAUUUAUUUCCUGUCACAUCCAAUAAGUGUACAGUGGAGUUUGUUGAGCUAAAUCCAUUUUGGGAGUGCACCAAAGCCCAGAGUAAGCCACAUUUAGUUUGCCAGACGUAUGCUGUCAGACUGUAACAGUCAAACCCACAGCUGUGCCGAAACUAUAAAAAAAAAAAAAUUAAAAAAAAGUUUGCGUUGCCUUUUCGCUAGUGUUUAUUCACUUUUUAACAAGACACACUUUAAUAAAUGAUUUAGUAAGUAUUAAGUAAUGUCUUCAUUUAAGUUUAAUAAAUCCUUUACUAUCAUUUACUAAUGCAAUAUGUCUUACUACAAAAUGAGAAUCCCAUGAACAUUUAUUUAAUGAUUACUAACAUUACCAACUAUAUUAACAACAAAUAGAAAGAAUAAACACCAGCUAACAUUCCUCAUGAAAGUUUUUUAAUUCAUCAAUAACACAAUAGUAAAUUAUUUAUCAACCAUUACUAACAGAAUUGGUGUUUAUAAUCCCUUUUACAGGGUGCUAUGUAAAGUGGUACCAAUUUUAAAAAGGCCGGCAGUAAAACUUU